GAUUAAUUUGCUUUGAAGCAAGCCACGACUCUUUUAGUUGUUCUUCCUUACUUGUCUUAAUAUCAAGGUGCUGUGGCUAUACAUAUACUUCUGGAACUACAUCACAUAUUUGCAGCAUAAAAACUGACAAAGUAUAUAUCUAUAUUUAAAUAUUCCUGCGAAAGGAAUAAUCUAAACAACAUGGAAACAUGGUGAACAUCCUUUAUAAGCUACAGCACUGGUGCAUGGCCCAUUAUAGAGCCUAAUAUAGAAGAUCCCUUCCCAGGAGGAUGUCAUCGUCUAUAACUUGGAAGAAACACGUCACAGUGUUUCUUCCACCCUCAGAGAAUAAGAAGCGACUGAAGAAGCUCUGGAGACUAAUGGGUCCAGCAGCAGGUUUGCAGAAGAUAUCAAAGUAUUUAAAAGAACCAACCAGUCAAAUUCAGAACCAACCAAUCAAAGGAUUCAGAAGAAAAAUUGAACCAGACUAUGGAAUGAUUCUUUACGCCACAAUUUAGACCAAAGUGUAUCUCAUCAUUUGUAUCAUUUCUGAAAUUCUUCAGGAGUAUCUUGCUUUCUUAUACCUUUAAUA
This is a long non-coding RNA of Ahaetulla prasina, 571 nucleotides long. RefSeq lists it as uncharacterized. The transcript is spliced from 5 exons. The record is from RefSeq and is a predicted model, not a curated record. NCBI's taxonomy places the organism in Eukaryota, Metazoa, Chordata, Lepidosauria, Squamata, Colubridae.